This 274-nucleotide ribosomal RNA is filed under the name uncultured bacterium. Its description in RNAcentral is "partial 16S ribosomal RNA". It matches the Rfam family "Bacterial small subunit ribosomal RNA", at positions 523 to 796 of the family's 1533-position model. The record is from RNAcentral.
AUACAGAGGGUGCGAGCGUUAAUCGGAAUUACUGGGCGUAAAGCGCGCGUAGGCGGCUACUUAAGUCAGAUGUGAAAUCCCCGGGCUCAACCUGGGAACUGCAUCUGAUGCUGGGUAGCUAGAGUUUUGGAGAGGGAAGUAGAAUUUCAGGUGUAGCGGUGAAAUGCAUAGAGAUCUGAAGGAAUACCAGUGGCGAAGGCGACUUCCUGGCCAAAAACUGACGCUGAGGUGCGAAAGCGUGGGUAGCAAACGGGAUUAGAAACCCUAGUAGUCC